UACGGAGGAUGCGAGCGUUAUCCGGAUUUAUUGGGUUUAAAGGGUGCGUAGGCGGACUGUCAAGUCAGCGGUAAAAUUGAGAGGCUCAACCUCUACCCGCCGUUGAAACUGGUGGUCUUGAGUGGAUGAGAAGUACGCGGAAUGCGUGGUGUAGCGGUGAAAUGCAUAGAUAUCACGCAGAACUCCGAUUGCGAAGGCAGCGUACCGGCAUCCAACUGACGCUGAGGCACGAAAGCGUGGGGAUCAAACAGG
Molecule: ribosomal RNA, 252 nt
Filed under: uncultured bacterium
Lineage: Bacteria
Description: partial 16S ribosomal RNA
Rfam family: Bacterial small subunit ribosomal RNA
Source: RNAcentral